Molecule: transfer-messenger RNA, 357 nt
Filed under: bacterium
Lineage: Bacteria
Also listed under: 1 other name
Description: DTPJ01 sp011334435 Standard tmRNA
Rfam family: transfer-messenger RNA
About the family: Bacterial tmRNA, also known as 10Sa RNA or SsrA, is named for its dual tRNA and mRNA-like properties.
Source: RNAcentral
GGGGGUGAAUUGGUUUCGACGGGGAUAGUUGAUGCAGGGGUUGCAUGCCGAGGUUCCAUCGGCCUCGUUAAACUGAUGGAAAAAAAUUAAAUGCCAAUACUGAAUUGGCUCUAGCUGCGUAAUUUUACCAGCUACGUCUUCCAUAUUCAUGCCUGUGGGAUAUGGCGGGCGACGCUUAACAGGCUAGCUGAUCGUCUUGGCUCGGAGGACGAAAGGCGAAGCAAUAUCCGAGAUAGUGCUUUGCAAAUCCUGCCUGCGGGAGUUGCAAGGGGCGAUAGCACAAAUCACAGGAAAAGCAUGUAGUAGCCUCUGUUGAUAUAUCUUCGGACGCGAGUUCGAUACUCGCCACCUCCACCA